GCCUCUGUAGCAUAGUAGCUAUUGCGCGACAUUGGUAAUGUCGAGGUCGCGAGUGCAACUCUCGCCAGAGGCU
This 73-nucleotide transfer RNA is filed under the name archaeon. Its description in RNAcentral is "tRNA-Thr". The record is from RNAcentral.